UGGGGAAUAUUCCGCAAUGGCCGCCCGUCUGACGGCGCAACGCCGCGUUAGUGACGCCGGUUUUCGGACUGUAACGCUCUUUUGUUUAGUACGCACGUGCCUGUUGCGACCCGUUCCCGGUAUUGCCGGUACUCCCCGAGGACGCCACGGCUAACUACGUGCCAGCAGCCGCGGUAAUACGUAGUGUUCAAGCGUUGUCCGGAAUUAUUGGGCGUAAAGAGCAUGUAGGCGGAGAGUUAAGUCUGUUGUGAAAAUGCGGGGCUCAACCCCGUAUGGCGAUGGAAACUGAAUUUCUUGAGUGCAGGAGAGGAAAGGGGAAUUCCCAGGGUAGCGGUGAAAGGCGGAGAGAUGGGGAGGAACACCAGUGGCGAAGGCGCCUUGCGGGACGGUGGCUGACGCUGAGAGGCGAAAGCCAGGGUAGCGAACGG
RNAcentral lists this ribosomal RNA (428 nucleotides) under uncultured bacterium. Its description in RNAcentral is "bacterial SSU rRNA". It matches the Rfam family "Bacterial small subunit ribosomal RNA", at positions 355 to 775 of the family's 1533-position model. The record is from RNAcentral.